AUGAACGCUGGCGGCGUGCCUAAUACAUGCAAGUCGAGCGAACGGACGAGAAGCUUGCUUCUCUGAUGUUAGCGGCGGACGGGUGAGUAACACGUGGAUAACCUACCUAUAAGACUGGGAUAACUUCGGGAAACCGGAGCUAAUACCGGAUAAUAUUUUGAACCGCAUGGUUCAAAAGUAAAAGACGGUCUUGCUGUCACUUAUAGAUGGAUCCGCGCUGCAUUAGCUAGUUGGUAAGGUAACGGCUUACCAAGGCAACGAUGCAUAGCCGACCUGAGAGGGUGAUCGGCCACACUGGAACUGAGAAACGGUCCAGACUCCUACGGGAGGCAGCAGUAGGGAAUCUUCCGCAAUGGGCGAAAGCCUGACGGAGCAACGCCGCGUGAGUGAUGAAGGUCUUCGGAUCGUAAAACUCUGUUAUUAGGGAAGAACAUAUGUGUAAGUAACUGUGCACAUCUUGACGGUACCUAAUCAGAAAGCCACGGCUAACUACGUG
Molecule: ribosomal RNA, 496 nt
Filed under: uncultured bacterium
Lineage: Bacteria
Description: partial 16S ribosomal RNA
Rfam family: Bacterial small subunit ribosomal RNA
Source: RNAcentral